AAGUGCCCCAAGAAACUGAAAGCGGAAGCUAGGCCCGCGUGAUUUUUGUGGACAACUUUUUUUUCCCACCAUCAUAUUCAUAUUAUUAUUCUGUCAUGCAUAUUGCAUAUUUCGUGACAUGGGCAAGCUAACUCUCUUGUUUGUUUUGUUGUUUGUUCCAGUUAAAGGGCAAACUUGACUUGCUUUUUGGGUAGCUUUACUUCAAAGCUUUAAUUAGAAGUGGAUCACGUUUUUAGUUAGUAGUAUGGGUAUCUGAACUGCAGUUUUUUUUGUCUUACUUGUAAUUGGUUGAUUUGCCUCUUUUUCCAAACUCUCUUGCUGUUUCAAAAUUUUCAAAGCUUAAUUGUCCAAGUUGAAGUUUCCCUGUUGAGUUUGAAUAUUAACUGGAUUUAAGAAAAAUCUUUAGUUAAAAGCUAUUUUCAAAGGGAAUUCAUUUUACAGUAAAGUUUAUCCAGGUAACUUUUUUUUUUUGUAUACCCUUUAUGCGGUUUUUUUCAUUCUGAUGGUUUAUUUAGUUUGUAAUUUUGCUCAGAGUGAGAAGAAUAUAAAAAGGCAUCUCCUUUACCAACCUUUCGUCACUGUUGGGUUGAUACCUAUUCCAUGAUACAUAUUCCAUUAUGACUUGACUUGAUUUGUUGGCUGGUAGCUAACCACAUAAAUAUGGAGAUAUUGUGUAUUAUUUGCUCUGGGCCCUAAAUUAUGAUAACUUAUUUGUGUUAAUGUUCGAGCAACAAGGUUAAUAUAUUGGAGCUCGUUCUGUGUCUUUUCAUUUUGGUAUCACUAAUUGCCUUACCACUCAUCAAUAGAUUCUGGUAGUUACUCGGUUCGUUUGAUUUCUCAAACAACACAGUGAAUUUGGCUUCUCAGAAAUGGCUGAGAAAGAGGGUAUGUAUUCAUCAAGGGAUUGGAGGAGAAUACCACUCUGCACUUUCUUUAAGGAUGCCAGACUAGUUUUCAAAUUAGACAGUCUUGGCCGGGAAAUUUUGUCGAUUGCACUUCCCGCAGCAAUGGCUUUGACAGCUGACCCUAUUGCUUCACUGGUUGACACAGCUUUUAUUGGCCAAAUAGGUCCAGUGGAGCUUGCUGCUGUAGGAGUUUCCAUAGCUCUUUUCAAUCAAGUAUCAAGGAUAGCAAUAUUCCCACUUGUUAGUGUCACAACCUCUUUUGUGGCUGAGGAAGAUACCCUCAGUGGAGCAAGCCCUCAGAUAGAGGAGAGUAGAUGCUUGGAAGCAGGUCCCACUAUGGAUGCUGAAACCAAAAAUUUGCUACCGCAGAAGGGCGGAAAUGUUCACAAUUCGGUUUUAGUUGUUGAAAGUUUUAAUAUAGUUAAGGAGGAAAAUAAGAGAAGGAAUAUCCCUUCAGCUUCAUCAGCAUUAUUUAUUGGUGGCAUCCUUGGUCUCAUCCAGGCAAUAUUACUUAUAUCUACAGCAAAACCUUUAUUGAACUUCAUGGGACUCUCCUAUGCUACAUCCUGCACAGCGGUACUUGACAUUGAGGUCCCUUGGUGCUCCUGCAGUUCUUCUUUCAUUAGCAAUGCAAGGAGUCUUCCGAGGAUUUAAAGACACUAAAACUCCUUUAUAUGCCACCGUGGCAGGAGAUGUAACCAACAUGGCACUAGAUCCUUUAUUCAUGUUUGUAUUCCGUUUGGGUGUCACUGGUGCAGCCAUUUCCCAUGUUAUUUCUCAGUACCUAAUUUCAGUUAUACUCCUGUGGAGGUUGAUGGAACAAGUUGACCUUAUACCUCCAAGCAUAAAGCAUUUGCAAUUUGAUCGAUUUCUUAAAAAUGGUUCUCUAUUAUUAAUGAGAGUCAUUGCUGUAACAUUCUGUGUGACACUGGCUGCAUCAUUAGCUGCAAGGCAGGGAUCAACAUCCAUGGCUGCAUUUCAAGUUUGUCUGCAGGUUUGGUUGUCAGUGUCUCUUCUCGCUGAUGGUCUGGCUGUUGCAGGGCAGGUUAGAUAUAAUUACUUUGUGCAAUAAAUGUCCUGCUAUGUUACUUGAUGAUGGCUGCAUGCCAAAACAUUUAAUAAAAGAUAUCAACGGCCUCUACUUGAAUAAUGCUUUCUUGUAUGAAAAGAUUCUGGAAAACAUGAUGAUUGUUUGAAUUUAUUUUCCGUGCACAUAUUCUUGCAAAAAAAUGGGUAUGAAAUAAAUAAUAGAAGCCGUAAUUACAUAUUUAUGUCAUCCAAUUGAUUUUCUUUUAUAAUUAUUUGUCCUAUCUAGGGAUGUAGUCACACUCCCUAGUUCUUUAUAUAAUGCUAUUUGCCAUCCUUUAGAAACACAAGCAAAAGGCCUUUUUUUUUUAACUUUUCAGUUUGGUACUAUGGCUCUAUUAGUUCAUAUCUUCCAAAAUAACAUGUUGGUUUCAGGCAAUUCUUGCAGGUGCAUUUGCUAAUAAGGACUAUGACAAGGCGACCGCAACUGCAUCCCGAGUACUGCAGAUGGGUUUGGUUCUAGGAUUGGCACUUGCUUUCAUUCUUGGAACAGGAUUACAUUUUGGAGCUAAACUGUUUACAAAUGAUGUUAAAGUUCUCAACCUCAUUAGAGUUGGGAUCCCGUUUGUUGCAUUCACCCAACCCUUGAAUUCUUUAGCAUUUGUGUUUGAUGGUGUCAACUUUGGGGCGUCUGAUUUUGCAUACUCAGCCUUUUCCAUGGAUGUGGUAGCAAUUAUUAGCAUCAUUUGUCUGCUUAUAUUGUCAUCCGUUGGUGGUUUCAUUGGAAUUUGGGUUGCUUUGACCAUCUACAUGGGUCUUAGGGCAUUUGCGGGCUUCUUGAGGAUUGGAACGGGAUCCGGACCUUGGGAGUUCCUUAGGAGUUCAUGACGGCACAAUAAUUUUAGCUUCAUAUCUGGCCAGUGGUGUUUGCUAGUUACAUUACAGUGAUAAAAGUUUUCCAUAGGCUUUUAAAUCUCAUAGAUAUUUUUUGAAAGAAUAGACACUUUCUCCCUGCUUGAUUGUGCUUGGGGCAUUGGUUGACAAAUCUACCUCUGCUUCAGAAUAUGUACAAAAACAUUUCUAAUUCUGUUAUCAUAGUCUCACAAUGAAAUGAAACAUAGAAUCAAACUUCUAUUGUAACCCUACAACAAAUAUAAUUACAUGAAUAACAUGAAAGUGAAAGAUUGCAUGGAACAAGUACUAGUGCUGAAUAAAGAUGCAUGACUUUUUGUU
Molecule: RNA transcript, 3164 nt
Organism: Abrus precatorius (Indian licorice)
Lineage: Eukaryota; Viridiplantae; Streptophyta; Magnoliopsida; Fabales; Fabaceae
Gene name: protein DETOXIFICATION 42-like
Exons: 11
Source: RefSeq, a predicted model, not a curated record